AUGACAUGGUGGCUUCUAGGCAGCAGCUGGCUACAUGGGCAUGGCUUUUAAUAAUAAAGAACAGACAGUUAAAGACCAGCGAGAACAUCCCUAACCUUCAUCUCAUCCAGAUAUGUAACACAUGGGAUGUGGCAAGUUUUAGGACAAGUGGGAUUUACACAGCCAGAGAUGGGAAGGUAAUAAAAUGGACUUCAGCCUACUUCAAGGAGCCCCAUGUCCAGCAUGGCUUGAUUGUCUUCUAAACGGAGGAGGAAGUUACAUGUGGACAAUUCUUCAAAUAUUCAGAUAGUUUAUCAUUUAAAUAGACAAAAACCUUGUGUUGGCAAUAUAAAUUUCAAUCUUUUGUUUCAAAUUGUCAGUAAAUAAUUGAAUUGAGUUGUUUUUGUAGAACACAGACAGUGUAGGUUGCUCUCUAAGGGUCCAUUCCCAAUGAAACUACUGUUCUAUGUAGAUAGAUCCAACUCCACGGGGACUCACGCUGAAUGCAAUCAGAUAAACAUGCCUCCUGGCAUUGAGUAAAAUACAGAUAAAAAGCUGUUGAUUAUAUAAGUACCAGUAUGUGAAAACAAGAGGAGGUGUGUUAAUAUGAUUGCAUUCAGUCAGAGUCCCUGCAAAGUUGGAUCGAUCUACAUAGAAUGACAGUUCCAUUGGGAAUGUGCCCUAAAUAAUAAUAAUGGGCAAGUCUACUUUAGGUUGCGUUUGUUUUUGGAAAAAGUUGCUAACUGCUGCUUCUUUAAUGUAGAAUUUUUUUGUUGAGGUUAGAUUAAGAGCUACUUACUUUGAGAACAAAUUAUUAAUGCAUUACAUUCAUUUUAUGCCAACAAGUAUUCUAAUGGGGCACUACACAAUUUC
Unclassified non-coding RNA from Lingula anatina, 852 nucleotides. The record is from RefSeq and is a predicted model, not a curated record. Lineage: Eukaryota; Metazoa; Brachiopoda; Lingulata; Lingulida; Lingulidae.